GACGAACGCUGGCGGCGUGCCUAAUACAUGCAAGUCGAACGAGAGCGACCGGUGCUUGCACUGGUCAAUCUAGUGGCGAACGGGUGAGUAACACGUGGGUAACCUGCCCAUCAGAGGGGGAUAACAUUCGAAACGGAUGCUAAAACCGCAUAGGUCUUCGAACCGCAUGGUUUGAAGAGGAAAAGAGGCGCAAGCUUCUGCUGAUGGAUGGACCCGCGGUGCAUUAGCUAGUUGGUGAGGUAACGGCUCACCAAGGCCGUGAUGCAUAGCCGACCUGAGAGGGUGAUCGGCCACAUUGGGACUGAGACACGGCCCAAACUCCUACGGGAGGCAGCAGUAGGGAAUCUUCCGCAAAGGACGCAAGUCUGACGGAGCAACGCCGCGUGAGUGAAGAAGGUUUUCGGAUCGUAAAACUCUGUUGUUAGAGAAGAACAAGUGCUAGAGUAACUGUUAGCGCCUUGACGGUAUCUAACCAGAAAGCCACGGCUAACUACGUG
Molecule: ribosomal RNA, 497 nt
Filed under: uncultured bacterium
Lineage: Bacteria
Description: partial 16S ribosomal RNA
Rfam family: Bacterial small subunit ribosomal RNA
Source: RNAcentral